This 48-nucleotide transfer RNA is filed under the name Peplidium sp. Barker 7267. RNAcentral's name for it is "partial tRNA-Leu". Lineage: Eukaryota; Viridiplantae; Streptophyta; Magnoliopsida; Lamiales; Phrymaceae. The record is from RNAcentral.
CCUAUUUUACUCCAAAAAUCUUUAUCCUAGACCCCUUUGUCGUUAGCG